This is a non-coding RNA of Acanthosepion pharaonis, 99 nucleotides long. Lineage: Eukaryota; Metazoa; Mollusca; Cephalopoda; Sepiida; Sepiidae. The record is from the annotation of a GenBank genome assembly.
GUUACAACACCAGUUCCCGUACGAUCACCGAAGUUAAGCAACAUCAAGCCUGGCCAGCACCUAAAUGGGUGACCACUUGAGAAUACGAAGUACUGUAAG